UCCACAUCUACAUGUAAAAUACCUGCUUUGUUUUUCCUUUCUUUUGUUCUAUUGGCUAAGCUUUUAUCAUCUCAUUUUGCAUUCUCUAUUUAUCAGCGCAUCAUCUCCAGACUAACUUCUUAUUGUAGUCAAAUCCAGUAGUAGAUGCUGAUCAUGUAAACUGGCCAAUGAUGUGCUCGUAGAAUAAUUAAAUUCUACUAUUGGGAGUUCAAACUGUUCUUUCCUGCAUGUAUUGGCAUGUGAAAAACUAAAUCAACCAUAUCUCUUGAAACAUUCUGAAUUUCUUUUCUCUUUGCUAAUAUAUGCAGGGUCAACCAUCUUUACUGCAUUCAGUCUCCAUCUGUCACUCCCUAGUUAGUUGCCAUUUGCUUUGCUGUAUACCAUCUGAGGUCAAGGCUCAUCCUUGCUAUAUUCUGGGACUCUACUAUGAUUGCUGUGGGAUCUUUGUGAGGGGACCAAAUCCAAGACAGCACAAGCUAGUGGAGGCCCACUGUUCAAUUGACGGAUCAUACAUCUGUUCGUGCGAACUGAUAGACAAGAUAUUGGUCGCUUAGACUUUGAAACACUUCUCUGUGCUUGUUGUUGAUUUUUCUUGAUACCUGGUUGUCCCAAAGGAAAAGGCUUCUUGAUACCUGGUUGUCCCAAAGGAAAAAGCUUCUAUCACGCAACAAAAUUACCGGAACAAUGG
RNAcentral lists this long non-coding RNA (688 nucleotides) under Triticum aestivum (bread wheat). RNAcentral's name for it is "long non-coding RNA (TAES_LNC012255)". Lineage: Eukaryota; Viridiplantae; Streptophyta; Magnoliopsida; Poales; Poaceae. The record is from RNAcentral.